RNAcentral lists this ribosomal RNA (450 nucleotides) under uncultured bacterium. RNAcentral's name for it is "partial 16S ribosomal RNA". It matches the Rfam family "Bacterial small subunit ribosomal RNA", at positions 354 to 796 of the family's 1533-position model. The record is from RNAcentral.
GUGGGGAAUAUUGGACAAUGGGCGAAAGCCUGAUCCAGCCAUGCCGCGUGUGUGAAGAAGGUCUUCGGAUUGUAAAGCACUUUAAGUUGGGAGGAAGGGCAGUAAGUUAAUACCUUGCUGUUUUGACGUUACCAACAGAAUAAGCACCGGCUAACUUCGUGCCAGCAGACGCGGUAAUACGAAGGGUGCAAGCGUUAAUCGGCAUUAAUGGGUGUAAAGCGCGCGUAGGUGGUUCAGCAAGUUGGAGGUGAAAUCCCCGGGCUCAACCUAGGAACGGCCUCCAAAACUACUGAACUAUAGUACGGUAGAGGGUAGUGGAAUUUCCUGUGUAGCGGUGAAAUGCGUAGAUAUAGGAAGGAACACCAGUGGCGAAGGCGACUACCUGGACUGAUACUGACACUGAGGUGCGAAAGCGUGGGGAGCAAACAGGAUUAGAAACCCCAGUAGUCC